Vigna radiata var. radiata (mung bean) is the source of this 1306-nucleotide long non-coding RNA. RefSeq lists it as uncharacterized. The transcript is spliced from 5 exons. NCBI's taxonomy places the organism in Eukaryota, Viridiplantae, Streptophyta, Magnoliopsida, Fabales, Fabaceae. The record is from RefSeq and is a predicted model, not a curated record.
GCUAAUAAUUGUGGAGGGUUUCAAUUCUUUUUGAAGAGUUUUAUAACUUGCUACAUUUUUCUUUUACUAUUUUUUUCUUUUUCUAUUUUUUUCAACUGCACCCUCUCAAAAUUUUAAGUUUAGUACAUCCUUUUUCCCAAAUUUGAAAACCAAAGUUCUAAGCGCGAUUUCCCCCUUCUGCUUCUUCAUCCAUUAAUUUCUUUUUCACUCUCACAGUACAGAAAACUAAAAACCCUAAUAAUCGGUUAUCACUUCCAAAUCUUGCAAAUCUCAAGGGGUCGAAGCAAUUAGUGUCCCAACAACACUUCCUCCUAUUACCAGCCCUUGUCCUCCACCAGGUAUGGUCAAAGUAGUAGCGGCUGGCGGACAACGGACAAGAUCUCGAACCUACCGUGGAGUGUGACGAUGGUGUCAGAAGAAAUGGAUUGGCAUAGGGUUAUAUUGGUGACAAUUCCAGUGCUGCCUCCUUAGCGGCAGCGUGCGAAGGUGGAGACGCUAUUGAUGGUGUCGCAACCAUCGGUUACUUCCAUGUCGUGCGUUUUGAAGGUUUAAAUCCCUCUGUGGCAUGGAUGGGAUCCUGCUUUGUUGUGAUGGGUGUCCCUCUGCUUAUCAUUCAAGGUGUAUUGGUGUGUUGAAAAAUCAUAUACCAGAAGGGCCAUGAUAUUGUCCAGAGUGCAAAAUAAAUAUGUUGGGGCCAACCAUUGCAAAGGGAACAUCACUUCGAGGGGCUGAAAUAUUUGGAAAGGAUUUGUAUGGGCAACUCUUCAUGGGAACUUGCAAACGUCUACUUGUGCUGAAUAUUGGCAAUGCUGAAUCCUGUCUUAGGUACUACAAUUAGAAUGAAGCAAUCAAAUUUCUUAUGGGCUGCAUCCAGACUUCUCUUUUGUUGGAAUUGGUCCCACUGUAAUACAACUGAAUUCACUACUGUUGAGGAUAUACGCAAGCCCCUUGUGUUGAAGGAACUUAGAAAAUUGUGGGAAAAGGAAGAACCUGAUCUACCAUGGGAGGAGGGAGAGUUGAAAAACAAGUUCUAGAGGGUAGCACAUGUUUAAAAAAAAAAUAGUCGAGUUCACAAACACGGUUGAAAGUACCUACCAAAUAGGAAAAGCAUGAGAAACCUCAACAAACUCAUCCAAGUCCAACAUAUAUAUAUUGAUUCGAAAGUUAAAACUCCAACAGGAUGAUGUUUUGUAGUGGUUUUUUUUAGGUCAUCAACAUUUUUCAAUUGGUGUAGUUAGAUUUUUUAGUCAAUCUUGUAAUGUUCUUUAAACAAUAUUAUGUAUUUUUUUUUUUAUUUACAUUGUAA